UGCCAGCAGCCGCGGUAACACGGGGGGCGCAAGCGUUAUUCGGAAUUAUUGGGCGUAAAGCGCGUGUAGGCGGUUCGUUAAGUCUGAUGUGAAAGCCCGGGGCUCAACCCCGGAAGUGCAUUGGAAACUGGCGAACUUGAGUACGGGAGAGGAAGGUGGAAUUCCUGGUGUAGAGGUGAAACUCGUAGAUAUCAGGAGGAACACCGAUGGCGAAGGCAUCUUUCUGGACCGAUACUGACGCUGAGACGCGAAAGCGUGGGGAGCAAACAGGAUUAGAUA
RNAcentral lists this ribosomal RNA (279 nucleotides) under uncultured bacterium. Its description in RNAcentral is "partial 16S ribosomal RNA". It matches the Rfam family "Bacterial small subunit ribosomal RNA", at positions 506 to 784 of the family's 1533-position model. The record is from RNAcentral.